GAGGAACUCCGAUGGCGAAGGCAGCCCCCUGGGUCAAGAUUGACGCUCAUGCACGAAAGAGUGGGGAGCAAACAAGAUUAGAUACCCUGGUAGUCCACGCCCCAAACGAUGUCUACUAAUCGUCGGGUCUUAAUUGACUUGGUAACGCAGCUAACGCGUGAACUAGACCGCCUGGGGAGUACGGUCGCAAGAUUAAAACUCAAAGGAAUUGACGUGGACCCGCACAAGCGGUGGAUGAUGUGGAUUAAUUUGAUGCAACGCGAAAAACCUUACUUACCCUUGACAUGGCUGGAAUCCUUGAGAGAUCAGGGAGUGCUCGAAAGAGAACCAGUACACAGGUGUUGACAUGGCUGCCGUCAGCUCCUGUCGUGAGAUGUUGGGUAUAAGUCCCGCAACGAGCGCAACCCUUGUCAUUAGUUGCUACGAAAGGGCACUCUAAUGAGACUGCCGGUGACAAACCGGAGCAGGUGGGGAUGACGUCAAGUCCUCAUGGCCCUUAUGGGUAGGGCUUCACACGUCAUACAAUGGUACAUACAGAGCGACGCCAACCCGCG
This 554-nucleotide ribosomal RNA is filed under the name uncultured beta proteobacterium. RNAcentral describes it as "bacterial SSU rRNA". It matches the Rfam family "Bacterial small subunit ribosomal RNA", at positions 701 to 1259 of the family's 1533-position model. The record is from RNAcentral. Lineage: Bacteria; Pseudomonadati; Pseudomonadota; Betaproteobacteria.